This 245-nucleotide ribosomal RNA is filed under the name uncultured bacterium. Its description in RNAcentral is "partial 16S ribosomal RNA". It matches the Rfam family "Bacterial small subunit ribosomal RNA", at positions 105 to 334 of the family's 1533-position model. The record is from RNAcentral.
CCGGCACGAGGUAGGGGUAACGGACGUAUGACUAACUUACCUAUACGAGGGAGGGGGACGACCGGAAGUCGGACUAAUACCGCAUGAAGCAGGGGCCCCGCAUGGGGAUACUUGCUAAAGAUUCAUCGCUGAUAGAUAGGCAUGCGUUCCAUUAGGCAGUUGGCGGGGUAACGGCCCACCAAACCGACGAUGGAUAGGGGUUCUGAGAGGAAGGUCCCCCACAUUGGUACUGAGACACGGACCAA